Molecule: ribosomal RNA, 433 nt
Filed under: uncultured bacterium
Lineage: Bacteria
Description: partial 16S ribosomal RNA
Rfam family: Bacterial small subunit ribosomal RNA
Source: RNAcentral
AACGAACGCUGGCGGCAUGCCUAACACAUGCAAGUCGAACGAGAUCUUCGGGUCUAGUGGCGCACGGGUGCGUAACGCGUGGGAACCUGCCCUUAGGUUCGGAAUAACUCCCCGAAAGGGGUGCUAAUACCGGAUAAUGUCUUCGGACCAAAGAUUUAUCGCCUUUGGAUGGGCCCGCGUUGGAUUAGCUAGUUGGUAGGGUAAAAGCCUACCAAGGCGACGAUCCAUAGCUGGUCUGAGAGGAUGAUCAGCCACACUGGGACUGAGACACGGCCCAGACUCCUACGGGAGGCAGCAGUGGGGAAUAUUGGACAAUGGGUGAAAGCCUGAUCCAGCAAUGCCGCGUGAGUGAUGAAGGCCUUAGGGUUGUAAAGCUCUUUUACCCGGGAUGAUAAUGACAGUACCGGGAGAAUAAGCUCCGGCUAACUCCGUG